CCACCUGAAUCCAUUCCGAACUCAGAAGUGAAACGAAAUAGCGCCGAUGGUAGUGUGGGGUUUCCCCAUGUGAGAGUAGGACAUCGCCAGGC
Molecule: ribosomal RNA, 92 nt
Filed under: Vibrio parahaemolyticus
Lineage: Bacteria; Pseudomonadati; Pseudomonadota; Gammaproteobacteria; Vibrionales; Vibrionaceae
Source: RNAcentral